This 619-nucleotide long non-coding RNA is filed under the name Homo sapiens (human). Its description in RNAcentral is "non-protein coding SOX2-OT:117". The stretch from base 11 to 286 matches the Rfam family "SOX2 overlapping transcript exon 3". Lineage: Eukaryota; Metazoa; Chordata; Mammalia; Primates; Hominidae. The record is from RNAcentral.
GGGAUUGCAGUGGCAAAGCUAGGCUAGGUCUUGGAGGCUGGUGUAAGGCGAUGUGGGUGAAGGCAGGAGGCUGAUGGAAAGACUGGGGGGAAGAAAAGCCGAAAUGGAUUCACGGUGCCUUGGAUGAAGGACGAGAGGGGAACUGCAAGCUCCUUCAACUGGUUCUGUCCGGUGAGAAGUGAUCAAGCUUGGGCUGACAAGAGGCUCAGGGAGCCCUCACGUUCUUUCGCUUUUUUACCUGCCAAUCAAACUGCUACAAGACAACACCCUGAUCUGGCAUGGACAUCGCGGGUCCAAGCCUGUAGCCCCAAAUCGGAUAAUCUCUGCAGCUGAUAACAAGCAAAAGAGAAGCCAGGCAACAGCCAUAUUAAAGAAGAAAACAAUCAACUCUGAGGAUGGCUGCCAGGGAAUAGAUGAAAGGCAGAAGUGGCGAUGGGUGACUGAUGUGGCACACUUAUGAAGAAAAGCCUCUUUUUCCAUGCUUGUUUUUCCUCCCCAAGGAGCCAACAGAGUUUCUAUUCUCCAACUCUGCUCUUCACCUUACCCAAGUCAUUGCAGUCACCUGGAGUCACGGAAAUGACCAUGAUUGCCUGAACUUUCAUGACUUCUGUGGAUAACU